Molecule: ribosomal RNA, 483 nt
Filed under: uncultured bacterium
Lineage: Bacteria
Description: partial 16S ribosomal RNA
Rfam family: Bacterial small subunit ribosomal RNA
Source: RNAcentral
GACGAACGCUGGCGGCGUGCUUAACACAUGCAAGUCGAACGCUGAAGCUCAGCUUUUGUUGGGUGGAUGAGUGGCGAACGGGUGAGUAACACGUGAGUAACCUGCCUCCUUCUUUGGGAUAACGCCCGGAAACGGGUGCUAAUACUGGAUAUUCACUGGUCUUCGCAUGGGGGUUGGUGGAAAGGGUUUUUCUGGUGGGGGAUGGGCUCGCGGCCUAUCAGCUUGUUGGUGGGGUGAUGGCCUACCAAGGCUUUGACGGGUAGCCGGCCUGAGAGGGUGACCGGUCACAUUGGGACGGAGAUACGGCCCAGACUCCUACGGGAGGCAGCAGUGGGGAAGAUUGCACAAUGGGCGCAAGCCUGAUGCAGCGACGCCGCGUGAGGGAUGGAGGCCUUCGGGUUGUGAACCUCUUUCGCUCAUGGUCAAGCCGCAACAAUGGUUGUGGUGAGGGUAGUGGGUAAAGAAGCGCCGGCUAACUACGUG